CAGCCGCCGCGGUAAAACGUAGGGUGCGAGCGUUGUCCGGAAUUACUGGGCGUAAAGAGCUCGUAGGCGGUUUGUCGCGUCGUCUGUGAAAUUCUGCAGCUUAACUGUAGGCGUGCAGGCGAUACGGGCAGACUUGAGUACUACAGGGGAGACUGGAAUUCCUGGUGUAGCGGUGAAAUGCGCAGAUAUCAGGAGGAACACCGGUGGCGAAGGCGGGUCUCUGGGUAGUAACUGACGCUGAGGAGCGAAAGCGUGGGUAGCGAACAGGAUUAGAUACCCCAGUAGUCCCUGUCUCUUAUAC
RNAcentral lists this ribosomal RNA (301 nucleotides) under uncultured bacterium. RNAcentral describes it as "partial 16S ribosomal RNA". It matches the Rfam family "Bacterial small subunit ribosomal RNA", at positions 509 to 807 of the family's 1533-position model. The record is from RNAcentral.